RNAcentral lists this long non-coding RNA (981 nucleotides) under Equus caballus (horse). RNAcentral's name for it is "lncRNA (ENSECAG00000036377.3)". Lineage: Eukaryota; Metazoa; Chordata; Mammalia; Perissodactyla; Equidae. The record is from RNAcentral.
CUAGCUCAGUAUAAAUAUGCAGUUUGAGUUGUUUAUCUAAAAGAGGGCUGAUUACUCCAUAUACUCAACUAAUUAUAUUCUUAAUUGUAAACUCCCUAUGUGUAACAGCAGGAAAUGUAAAAUAUUGGCUGCAAGAAGAAAUAAAAUCCAUGACAAUGGACUAAUAUCAUCUGUGAUGCCCACUCACUUCUACGUGGCAUGUGAGAACCAAUGCAUCUAUCUGCCUCAAUUAUACAGACACAGAUGUGGGGGCUUUACUGUCAUCUUCUGUGCCCAAGGGAAUCUAGUGCAUGAUCUUAUUCUGUUUGAGCUGCAACCUGAUACAGCAUGGCUUGAUGAGCAGUGCAUAGAUCCGUGCCCGGGAUCUGAACUGGUGAACUCCAGGCUGCUGAAGGAGAGCACACGAACUUAACCCCUACUCCACCAGGCUGGCCCCAACCAUAGCUUCUUGACCGGUAUCAGAAACCCAACUCAAGGCUGAACCUGGUUACACUUAUGUGGCAGUAAAAAUUAAUGGAAUGCGUUAUCAUUUUAAACUACCAUCAGUUGCCACGUGACCAUGAAAUAAAGGCAUUGGCAGUCAGAGGCAGCUAUGCAACCAGGAAAUUAUAGACAAGCAAGAGGAAGUGCUGAGUGAGACUUGACCUUGGAAUUUAAGAUUUUUUUUAAUAAAUCAAAAAGUUUUCUGUCCAUUUAUUUCCACUAAUGGUGUUAAGCAGUUGUGUCAAAUACAUAGGUUUAAUCUAAUCCUGUUGUACUCUGUGAUCAUUUAAUCUUCAAAACCUCUUUACAAAACUGCCAUGAGAUUCCAAUUUUCUUUACCGAGCAAAUCCAUUUUAACCCAGCUGGGGAAACUCACAUUGACGGGAACAGGUUCUUUUUGAUCCUGACUGGGCAAGUUAGGUAACAGUGAGACAAGCGGAAGUGUCAAUGGCAAAUCUCCCGUUCUCCACCUUUAACUGUAAGUGUCACAGGAUGGCC